CCUAUGGGUGGCUGCAGUGGGGAAUAUUGGACAAUGGGGGCAACCCUGAUCCAGCCAUGCCGCGUGUGUGAAGAAGGCCCUCGGGUUGUAAAGCACUUUCAGUGAGGAAGAACGCCUGGUGGUUAAUACCCAUCAGGAAAGACAUCACUCACAGAAGAAGCACCGGCUAACUCCGUGCCAGCAGCCGCGGUAAUACGGAGGGUGCGAGCGUUAAUCGGAAUUACUGGGCGUAAAGCGCGCGUAGGUGGCUUGAUAAGCCGGUUGUGAAAGCCCCGGGCUCAACCUGGGAACGGCAUCCGGAACUGUCAAGCUAGAGUGCAGGAGAGGAAGGUAGAAUUCCCGGUGUAGCGGUGAAAUGCGUAGAGAUCGGGAGGAAUACCAGUGGCGAAGGCGGCCUUCUGGACUGACACUGACACUGAGGUGCGAAAGCGUGGGUAGCAAACAGGAUUAGAUACCCUGGUAGUC
Molecule: ribosomal RNA, 465 nt
Filed under: Vreelandella stevensii
Lineage: Bacteria; Pseudomonadati; Pseudomonadota; Gammaproteobacteria; Oceanospirillales; Halomonadaceae
Description: partial 16S ribosomal RNA
Rfam family: Bacterial small subunit ribosomal RNA
Source: RNAcentral